Molecule: ribosomal RNA, 448 nt
Filed under: uncultured Acholeplasma sp.
Lineage: Bacteria; Bacillati; Mycoplasmatota; Mollicutes; Acholeplasmatales; Acholeplasmataceae
Description: bacterial SSU rRNA
Rfam family: Bacterial small subunit ribosomal RNA
Source: RNAcentral
GCGGUGGAUCAUGUUGUUUAAUUCGAUGAUACGCGAAGAACCUUACCAGGUCUUGACAUCCCCCGCGAUGCUUUAGAGAUAAAGCGGAGGUAUUCGGGGAGACAGGUGGUGCAUGGUUGUCGUCAGCUCGUGUCGUGAGAUGUUGGGUUAAGUCCCGCAACGAGCGCAACCCCUAUUGCUAGUUACCAUCAUUAAGUUGGGGACUCUAGCGAGACUGCCAGUGAUAAACUGGAGGAAGGUGGGGAUGACGUCAAAUCAUCAUGCCCCUUAUGACCUGGGCUACAAACGUGAUACAAUGGCUGGAACAAAGGGAUGCGAAGCAGUGAUGUGGAGCGAAACCCAUAAAAACAGUCUCAGUUCGGAUUGAAGUCUGCAACUCGACUUCAUGAAGUCGGAAUCGCUAGUAAUCGCGGAUCAGAACGCCGCGGUGAAUACGUUCUCGGGGUUU